Loxodonta africana (African savanna elephant) is the source of this 1941-nucleotide long non-coding RNA. RefSeq lists it as uncharacterized. The record is from RefSeq and is a predicted model, not a curated record. The transcript has 3 exons. Lineage: Eukaryota; Metazoa; Chordata; Mammalia; Proboscidea; Elephantidae.
CUAGUACUGGAAAGGAUGAGAUAAUAAGGUCCAGCCCCUUUAUUUUGCAGAUGAAAAUUAAAUAAGCCUACAGAUGAAAGAGGCCCCAGUGAUGAUAAGAGACUUAUCCAGAAUGACAGAGCCCUUGGGGGGCAAAGCCAAAGACAGAAGUACAAUCUUUUCACACCUAAUUAAGUGUUCUUCCUACUGUAUAGUACAUGGUUUCUAUGAAGGUCUGAUGAAAUUAAGUUCAUGAAAACCUACAAAGUGCUAUAUAAAUGUGAGGAAAUAUCACCUGCCUUCACUUCAGAGUGUCCUCAGGACGUGACUCCAUCUCAUUGCUUCACUCCUCCUCUACUACGGUCCUGACCAAGUCACCACCUUCUGUGACCUAGAUUAUUGUAAUAACCUCCCAGGUAUAAAUAAAUAAAGGAAAAUAUUAAUAAACUUUUUAUUACUGAUUUUCCUCUGUAGACACAGUAUUCUUUGUUACUAUUCAUUAUUUGUAAAAUAUCGAACACCUAUUAUGAGCAUAGCUUGUGCUGUGGGGGAUACAUAGUAAUCCUUGUUCACUGCCUUGAGGAAAUAAUCGUUAGUGAGGAGACGAGCAGCAUGUAUCAGAAAUUCAUUGAUCACAUGAAUUAAAUGACAAAAAGCACAGAAAUAAAUUGGUAAUAUGAUCUGUAAAUUAACCGGAGGUAUUAUGAUCUUCGUACAAUUAGGUGGCCAGUUAGAGUUAAGGCAGUUUAUAUGGGGAGCUCCUGGUGAAGAGAACCUGCGUGAAUUCAGUAGAUCAGAGAAGGUUUCAUGGAGGAGGAUGCAAUUGAGCUGUGCUGAGGAUGCUGAGGAGAUGGAGCAGCGUACGGAGGCCCGAUGGUAUCUUUGCUGUUACACUAAGGCGGGAAUGAACUCAGUGUUUCCUGAGAGCAAGUAGACCAGUAGGGCUGAAGAAGAGCGGACAGGCUUACGUGAAGGGUAGUUGGGGAUAACGUGAGGAAGUGGGUUCAGAGUAUGAGAGCCCAUCUGGGAAGCCAUUGGUGUCAUAUUUGGGGACAUGGCUGGCUCUGAAUGCUGGAGAUCCUGCAACGGGGCUGGAGUUAGGAGGAUGGACCCAGUCUUACUUGCUCGUAAGAAGUCUUAAAUGGAGUUAAGAAUAUGGUUCUGGGGUGCAUGAUGGGUACAGUUAGCGUGAUCAGUUGUCCUGAUUUGCCUCAGACUCUCCCAGUUUUAGCACUGAAAGCGGGAAGCCCUAGUUCCUGGCAAACCAGAUGGUUGGUCACUUUAGGUAUAGUGCAGAAAAGUGAUUGUUAUCAGGAGGUCCAGAUCAGAAUAGGAGAUCAGCACGUUAGCCGGUAAACAGAGCACGGCAAGAAGGAAUCCAGGGUAGGGCGUUUCAGAGCUCUGGUAGGCAGUCGGGGGAGCUGGAUUAUAUGUUGGUUAAGAGGAUUUUGGCCCAAUGAAAUUAAGCCCAAAGCAACAUAGACAAAGCAACUUGGUUUGUGUGACAGUUUGGUUCAAACAAGUUUUUGGGGAAUAAAUAAAUAAAUAAAUAAAUAAAAUAAUAAUAUUUUGAAUUACUGGCUUUUAAGCAUUGUUAAGUAAUAAUAAGUACCAUUCAUGAAUGCUUACCAUGUGUCAGGAACCUUGCUAGAUUUAAAAAAUAUUAUGUCUUUUAAUCCUCACAACCGUUCUCUGAGAUAAAAAAGACACUGUUAUUUCUUCAUUUUGCAGAUAAGGAAACUGAUGGUUUGAGAGAUUAAGCUGUUUGCCUAGUCACAUGGCUAGUAAAUCUCAGAAUGAGACUCUGAACCCGGGGCAGCACAAAGCUCUUAGUCACCAAAUAGUUCAGUCCCUGAUACUGAGGAACAGGGUUUUUAAAAUUAUUUAUUGUUCUCUUUUAUGACAAAAAUAACACAUACUAAUUCUAGAAAAAUAAAAUAUAGACAAGCAGAAGACUAUACA